AUUGAACGCUGGCGGCAUGCCUUACACAUGCAAGUCGAACGGCAGCGCGGGAGCAAUCCUGGCGGCGAGUGGCGAACGGGUGAGUAAUACAUCGGAACGUGCCCAAUCGUGGGGGAUAACGCAGCGAAAGCUGUGCUAAUACCGCAUACGAUCUACGGAUGAAAGCAGGGGACCGCAAGGCCUUGCGCGAAUGGAGCGGCCGAUGGCAGAUUAGGUAGUUGGUGAGGUAAAGGCUCACCAAGCCUUCGAUCUGUAGCUGGUCUGAGAGGACGACCAGCCACACUGGGACUGAGACACGGCCCAGACCCCUACGGGAGGCAGCAGUGGGGAAUUUUGGACAAUGGGCGCAAGCCUGAUCCAGCCAUGCCGCGUGCAGGAUGAAGGCCUUCGGGUUGUAAACUGCUUUUGUACGGAACGAAACGGCCUUUUCUAAUAAAGAGGGCUAAUGACGGUACCGUAAGAAUAAGCACCGGCUAACUACGUGCCAGCCGCCGCCGUAA
This 500-nucleotide ribosomal RNA is filed under the name uncultured bacterium. RNAcentral's name for it is "partial 16S ribosomal RNA". It matches the Rfam family "Bacterial small subunit ribosomal RNA", at positions 30 to 523 of the family's 1533-position model. The record is from RNAcentral.